Long non-coding RNA from Cannabis sativa, 738 nucleotides. RefSeq lists it as uncharacterized. The transcript has 2 exons. Lineage: Eukaryota; Viridiplantae; Streptophyta; Magnoliopsida; Rosales; Cannabaceae. The record is from RefSeq and is a predicted model, not a curated record.
AAGAAGUGCAAGUCGAAAAGCAUAUAUGCUAAACAUAAGCAUAAACCAACUUGUUCAUCAUUUCGUUCCCUAAUACUUUUAACCAAACCAAAAAUGAAUGUAUCGACAAAAUGUGGCUCAUUGCUCCUCCAGCAACAUUCAAUUAUUUCACAGCUGUAUCGAACCUAUAAAGACCACAAACGAUUUAGCAAGCCAAAAUUAGCCAGCAGCGACUUCACAAUUUGUCAUUAUGCUGGAGAAGUUCGAUAAUGGAGGCGCAAAACUUGGGGUUUCAUGGUGUCCUCCGGUGGUGGAGCCGAUUUGGACUAUGAGAUUUAACUGCAUAUGAUCAAUUACACGGUGGAGUUUAUUUUUUUCGUAGAGGUUGACAUCUAAUCUGGGUUUGUUCCCAAUUUCUCUUUCAGGUACUUGAUCACGUGUCUUCCCAACAUUUUUUUUUUUCAUCUUCAAGACUAGCUUCAUCAUUCCCUGUAACUCCAGAAACUCAACCUCCCUUUUCUCCAAUAGAAACAACACUAAUCUCAAAUUCAAGAGUUUCACAGACUGAGUAUUCUUUUUCUUGGACCCAGUAUUUUAAAUUUGGUUCAACAAAAGUUUCAACGUUGAUUGUGAUGAAAAUAAGGCCACAUGUUUGUUUUACUUAAAUAUAAGAGCAUUUUUUUUUAACAUUUACACUAAAAACAAAAAUAAAAUUACUAUAAAAAAUAAAUGACAAAUUAUAGUCUUUUUAUCCAGCAA